This 1333-nucleotide ribosomal RNA is filed under the name uncultured bacterium. RNAcentral describes it as "bacterial SSU rRNA". It matches the Rfam family "Bacterial small subunit ribosomal RNA", at positions 28 to 1382 of the family's 1533-position model. The record is from RNAcentral.
GACGAACGCUGGCGGCGCGCCUAACACAUGCAAGUCGAACGAGUGAGAGAGAGCUUGCUUUCUCGAGCGAGUGGCGAACGGGUGAGUAACGCGUGAGGAACCUGCCUCAAAGAGGGGGACAACAGUUGGAAACGACUGCUAAUACCGCAUAAGCCCACGGUGCCGCAUGGCACAGAGGGAAAAGGAGCAAUCCGCUUUGAGAUGGCCUCGCGUCCGAUUAGCUAGUUGGUGAGGUAACGGCCCACCAGGGCAACGAUCGGUAGCCGGACUGAGAGGUUGAACGGCCACAUUGGGACUGAGACACGGCCCAGACUCCUACGGGAGGCAGCAGUGGGGAAUAUUGCACAAUGGGGGAAACCCUGAUGCAGCGACGCCGCGUGGAGGAAGAAGGUCUUCGGAUUGUAAACUCCUGUUGUUGGGGAAGAUAAUGACGGUACCCAACAAGGAAGUGACGGCUAACUACGUGCCAGCAGCCGCGGUAAAACGUAGGUCACAAGCGUUGUCCGGAAUUACUGGGUGUAAAGGGAGCGCAGGCGGGAAGACAAGUUGGAAGUGAAAUCUAUGGGCUCAACCCAUAAACUGCUUUCAAAACUGUUUUUCUUGAGUAGUGCAGAGGUAGGCGGAAUUCCCGGUGUAGCGGUGGAAUGCGUAGAUAUCGGGAGGAACACCAGUGGCGAAGGCGGCCUACUGGGCACCAACUGACGCUGAGGCUCGAAAGUGUGGGUAGCAAACAGGAUUAGAUACCCUGGUAGUCCACACCGUAAACGAUGAUUACUAGGUGUUGGAGGAUUGACCCCUUCAGUGCCGCAGUUAACACAAUAAGUAAUCCACCUGGGGAGUACGACCGCAAGGUUGAAACUCAAAGGAAUUGACGGGGGCCCGCACAAGCAGUGGAGUAUGUGGUUUAAUUCGACGCAACGCGAAGAACCUUACCAAGUCUUGACAUCCCUUGACAGGCAUAGAAAUAUGUAUUCUCUUCGGAGCAAGGAGACAGGUGGUGCAUGGUUGUCGUCAGCUCGUGUCGUGAGAUGUUGGGUUAAGUCCCGCAACGAGCGCAACCCUUAUGGUCAGUUACUACGCAAGAGGACUCUGGCCAGACUGCCGUUGACAAAACGGAGGAAGGUGGGGAUGACGUCAAAUCAUCAUGCCCUUUAUGACUUGGGCUACACACGUACUACAAUGGCGUUAAACAAAGAGAAGCAAGACCGCGAGGUGGAGCAAAACUCAGAAACAACGUCCCAGUUCGGACUGCAGGCUGCAACUCGCCUGCACGAAGUCGGAAUUGCUAGUAAUCGUGGAUCAGCAUGCCACGGUGAAUACGUUCCCGGGCCUU